GUAGGUGGCAAGCGUUGUCCGGAAUUAUUGGGCGUAAAGCGCGCGCAGGCGGUUCUGUAAGUCUGAUGUGAAAGCCCACGGGCUCAACCGUGGAGGGUCAUUGGAAACUGGAGAACUUGAGUACAGAAGAGGAAAGCGGAAUUCCACGUGUAGCGGUGAAAUGCGUAGAGAUGUGGAGGAACACCAGUGGCGAAGGCGGCUUUCUGGUCUGUAACUGACGCUGAGGCGCGAAAGCGUGGGGAGCAAACAGGAUUAGAUACCCUGGUAGUCACGCCGUAAACGAUGAGUGCUAAGUGUUAGGGGGUUUCCGCCCCUUAGUGCUGCAGCUAACGCAUUAAGCACUCCGCCUGGGGAGUACGACCGCAAGGUUG
This 371-nucleotide ribosomal RNA is filed under the name uncultured organism. Its description in RNAcentral is "partial 16S ribosomal RNA". It matches the Rfam family "Bacterial small subunit ribosomal RNA", at positions 527 to 896 of the family's 1533-position model. The record is from RNAcentral.